UCUUUUUGUGCAUUAAUUAAAAAUUAAUUUAGAAGCCAAGAGCCUGAUCCUGAUUUCAAGAAAAUCAAUGUUUAAACACCCACUGACUUUUACAGAAGAGAGAUAAACUUCUAAAUUAUUGACCACUGUUGCUUAUGUCAUCUGUUUGCAGCCCAGGUGUCUGGUUUCUUAAGAGAUUUUAGAUUCAAAGUAUUUCGUUAUCUCAAACCCUGAGUAAACUCAGACAGACUCAGACAUAAUCUGUACCAGUUUGACUAACCAAAGUUAUGCAUCACUCCCAUGAUGCUCUGGAUUUCUCUAACACUAGAUAGCACCUGUUUAACCUUUGUUCUCCCAGCCGUUCAGAGCAAGCAGAUCCAGUUCUGACCUGGCUAGAUCGUCACUGCCUCUCCAUACCAGCUACAGAAGGAUAUCUAUUCCUAAACAAAUAAUAGUUGCUCUGACCUCCUCUUAAGUCACCUUUCAAUCUGCCAGUCUUUCAAGAUCUCUUUAUUUCAGUAGUGUUGUCAUAGACAUGACUGCUUAAGGCUAUGGAAGAGGCAAGUUUUGUAGGAAGAGGAAAUAUUUUUCAUUAAAACAAGUGAUACAGCUGAAAAAAUUAGGCUGGAUUUCUGGCACCGAAAGAAAAAGGCUUGCUUUUCAGGCCCAAAGAAAGAUCUCUCACAUGUGCCAGAUACCUUCUUUACUAUCGUCUUCUCAAGAGAGGUGCCCUCUAUGCUUGUGCCCCUGCAGUUGCUGGCCACCUAAAAUGGAACAGAAAGCAGAAAUACAGAACAGGAGAGUCAAGGAAAUGGCACAAGUUUGACCAUCCCUGAGAAGAAAUGAGACAGCAUGUGUAACUCUUUUCCAGUUUUAAGAGCUGAUUAUCAUUGAUUGCUGUAAUAAUAAUUACUGCUCUUAAGUUAGAAACAAAAUACGGGGGAAAAUCAAGCUGGUAAUUAGAUUGAUGUCAUUUUAAUGACUUGACAGUUCACGGCCUGCAAGAAAACUUGAG
RNAcentral lists this long non-coding RNA (994 nucleotides) under Struthio camelus australis. RNAcentral describes it as "lncRNA (ENSSCUG00000007376.1)". The record is from RNAcentral. Lineage: Eukaryota; Metazoa; Chordata; Aves; Struthioniformes; Struthionidae.